Pan troglodytes (chimpanzee) is the source of this 148-nucleotide non-coding RNA. It matches the Rfam family "Metazoan signal recognition particle RNA". From Rfam's summary of the family: The signal recognition particle (SRP) is a universally conserved ribonucleoprotein. It is involved in the co-translational targeting of proteins to membranes. NCBI's taxonomy places the organism in Eukaryota, Metazoa, Chordata, Mammalia, Primates, Hominidae. The record is from Rfam.
GCCAGGUGUGGUGGCGCAUGCCUGUAAUCCCAGCUACUCGGGAGGCUGAGGCAGGAGAAUUGCUUGAACCCAGGAGGUGGAGGUUGCAGUGAGGUGAGAUGGUGCCAUUGCACUCCAGCUUGGGUGACAGAGCAAGACUCUGUCUCCA